Molecule: ribosomal RNA, 220 nt
Filed under: uncultured Glomus
Lineage: Eukaryota; Fungi; Glomeromycota; Glomeromycetes; Glomerales; Glomeraceae
Description: partial small subunit ribosomal RNA
Rfam family: Eukaryotic small subunit ribosomal RNA
Source: RNAcentral
CCAAUAGCGUAUAUUAAAGUUGUUGCAGUUAAAAAGCUCGUAGUUGAAUUUCGGGAUCAAUAUGCCGGUCGUGCCUCGGUAUGCACUGGUAUUUUUGAUUUCUCCCUUCUGAAGAACUUUGAUGUCAUUAAUUUGGUGUCUUAGGGAAUCAGGACUGUUACUUUGAAAAAAUUAGAGUGUUUAAAGCAAGCUCACGCUUGAAUACAUUAGCAUGGAAUAA